CUAAGUUUGAUGGCAACCGGCGCACGGGUGAGUAACACGUAUCCAACCUGCCGAUGACUCGGGGAUAGCCUUUCGAAAGAAAGAUUAAUACCCGAUGGCAUAGUUCUUCCGCAUGGUAGAACUAUUAAAGGAUUUCGGUCAUCGAUGGGGAUGCGUUCCAUUAGGUUGUUGGCGGGGUAACGGCCCACCAAGCCUUCGAUGGAUAGGGGUUCUGAGAGGAAGGUCCCCCACAUUGGAACUGAGACACGGUCCAAACUCCUACGGGAGGCAGCAUG
RNAcentral lists this ribosomal RNA (275 nucleotides) under uncultured bacterium. RNAcentral's name for it is "partial 16S ribosomal RNA". It matches the Rfam family "Bacterial small subunit ribosomal RNA", at positions 79 to 353 of the family's 1533-position model. The record is from RNAcentral.